RNAcentral lists this ribosomal RNA (506 nucleotides) under uncultured bacterium. Its description in RNAcentral is "partial 16S ribosomal RNA". It matches the Rfam family "Bacterial small subunit ribosomal RNA", at positions 29 to 523 of the family's 1533-position model. The record is from RNAcentral.
AUUGAACGCUGGCGGCAGGCCUAACACAUGCAAGUCGGACGGUAGCACAGAGGAGCUUGCUCUUCGGGUGACGAGUGGCGGACGGGUGAGUAAUGUCUGGGGAUCUGCCCGAUAGAGGGGGAUAACCACUGGAAACGGUGGCUAAUACCGCAUAACGUCGCAAGACCAAAGAGGGGGACCUUCGGGCCUUUCACUAUCGGAUGAACCCAGAUGGGAUUAGCUAGUAGGCGGGGUAACGGCCCACCUAGGCGACGAUCCCUAGCUGGUCUGAGAGGAUGACAAGCCACACUGGAACUGAGACACGGUCCAGACUCCUACGGGAGGCAGCAGUGGGGAAUAUUGCACAAUGGGCGCAAGCCUGAUGCAGCCAUGCCGCGUGUAUGAAGAAGGCCUUCGGGUUGUAAAGUACUUUCAGCGGGGAGGAAGGCGAUGUGGUUAAUAACCGCGUCGAUUGACGUUACCCGCAGAAGAAGCACCGGCUAACUCCGCGCCAGCCGCCGCGGUAA